ACGUUGGAAUUUGAUUCAGUGAAAGGUGCAAAUCAUGCAUAAAUAAGUCAAAUAAAAAGUGAUAUGAUUGGAAAUGAUACUGAAAGUGAAAUGUUUCUCCAACGUCAUAUGAAGGUGGAAGGUUUCUCCAACGUCAUUGUAAAAACUCCAUAGAAAUGAGUAGGUUUUGAAUGUCGAUUCCUAGUCAAGAGACCUGCAUAUCUUUUUACAAGAAAACAUAUAAGAAUGGUCUUUAUAUAAAGGGUGAUUUUUAAGCUAGUAACUUUUUGGCAACGCUGGUUUCGACAGCUCACUCGCCUUUCUUAUUUUGUUUCAUUGUCUAACAUCUUCAGUUUGAUCUAUAAUUCCAGCAUGAAAAGUCUUACAAAUGAAGAACGAUUACAAAUUAUUGAAUUUUAUUAUCAAAAUGCGUGCUCUGUUAGAAAAAUCAUCGCGCAAAAAUUUUGUUGAGCGACUAAGCUAAUUUUUGCCUCAAUGGGUAUGUAAAUAAGCAGAAUUGUCGAUUUUGAAGUGAAGAUCAGCCAGAAGCAUUGCAAGAGCUACCAAUGUAUCCAAAAAAAGUCACAGUUUGGUGCGGUUUAUGGGCUGGUGGCAUCAUUGGACCGUACUUCUUCAAACAUUAUGAGAAUCGUAACGUAACUGUGAAUGGUGAGCGCUAUCGUGAGUUGAUAUCCAACUUUUUUUUGCCCAAAAUGACUUGUAUGACAUGUGGUUUCAACAAGACGGUUCCACAUGCCACACUGCACGCGUAACAAUGGGCUUAUUGAGAGGCGAGUUUGGUGAACAUUUUAUUUCACGUUUGAGACCGGUCAAUUGACCGCCUAGAUCGUGCGAUUUAAUGCCUUAAGACUAUUUUUUGGUGGGGCUAUGUUAAAGCUCAUGUCUAUACAGACAAGCCCCCUUCAAUUGAUGCAUUGGAAGACAACAUGGAAGAAUGUAGAGUAUGCCUAAAUGGGACUAAGCGAAUGAACCAUUUGAGGCGCAGUCACGGUCAAUAUUCGCAUGAAGUAAUCUUCAAACAUUAAUAGAUGGGAGCAGCUCAUUCCAUCGCGGUAUAAUCGAGGCGACGAUAGGAAACCUGGAAGGAAGGGAAGAGGUUUCCGAUCGGAUACCUGAGAUCAACCUUGAAGUCGAGUGCGAGACACUGCUGCCAUCGGCACAGUCUUGGAUUGACGGAACCCUAGUAUUGCCAUCUGGAAGAUUAAAACUAGAAGACAGAGUGGGCCUGGGGGUCUACAUUGAGAACCCAGGGACUGAGAUCUGUUUUAGACUGCCUGACCAUAAUAUGGUCCUGCAGGCGGAGAUCCGCGCGAUCACGGAAUGCGUGAAGUGGUGUGGUGCUAACGCCGACAGUAAAAUUGCCAUAAGGGCGAUAACAACCAGCACGGUAAGCUCACGAACAGUCUUGCAGUGUAAGAAGGAGAUUAACGCCUUCUCUGAGGAUGGCAAAAUCCGCAUCAUUUGGGUGCCGGGCCAUAACGGAGUAAGGGGAAAUGAAAGGGCAGACGAUUUGGCGGUGAAGGCCUGACUGAGGACUGCCGUCAAUAAACUUGGUUAACCCGAUGCCUUUCGUGUCGACGCCUGCAACAUUGUGGAACAGCGAAACGGUCGGUAGGGCGGUGAAAAUCCUAUGGGGGGAUCCAGAUCGUGAGAAGAUGAGUCUAUUACUGAAAGGAAGCAAGAAGGAGGUCAGUAUAGCUUUUGGUAUCUUAACGGGACUCAUAGGACUACGAGCUUACUUAUGUAAAAUCGGGGGGAAGACGAUGAGACCUUGGAGCAUUUCCUUUGUCAUUGCCCGGCUUUAAUCGGAAAUUGAUGCGUUGUCGUUGAGAUUACUACGUGAACAUAUCGUUCACGAAGUAAUUCACGCUCUCGUUCAACAUCUUUUAUGUGUUGGUACCACUAUAGAAUCGGACGGAAAGUGAGAAAAUGCGUUCGCCUGCUCAUUCAAUUUGCCUUCUCAGAUGGUGACAGACCAAGGGCGACACUUCUAGUCGGAAUUGUUUCGAGAAUUUUCAAAGUUGCUUGGAAUUCGUGUUCAUUAAAAGGGGUUAAUUGUCGCUGAAAAUGUUUUCUAAUGUUCUCGCCAAGAGUCGCACCCAGGCCUUCACAGUUAUAGGUGGACAUGCUACCCAUUGUGCCACGAUGGUCUCUAGUUUGUUCCUUGUUGGUAUGUUCGUUGGCAUAUUUGCAUUGUUUGGUAUUUGCAAAUAGUAUUGAUAACAUCUUUGUAUUUCUUAUUAUAGAAAUGACACAUUUAUUUUUUUACACUCCACCAUCGGAUGGUAGUAGAUUAACGUCGCCAUUCCGUUUGGAACACAUCGAAAUAUUGGUAUAAGACCCCAUUAAGCAUAAAUAUUCUUGAUUUUAAGUCGAUCUAGCCACGUCGGUCCGUCCGUCCGUCUGUUCUUUCUUCCGCCUGUCUGUGGGAAGCACACUAACUUUCGAAGGAAGCGCUUGAGAUUUUGCACAAAUACUUUCUAUAGGUGUAGGUCGUACAUGGGCAUUUUAGGUCCGGGUUUUAAUAUAGCUGCCAUAAAAUCCGAUCUUGGAUCUUGAUUUCUAGAGCCUCUAGAAUGCGCAAUUCUUAUUCGAACUGAUAUAAAUCCCAUAUAAACUGAUCUCACGAUUUUACUUCUAGAGCCUAUAGAUGGCGCUAUUGUAAUGCAAUUUGUCUGAAAUUUUGCACAAUGACUUCUACUAUGAUCACCAACAUCCAAGCAUGGUCCGAAUCGAUCCAUAACCUGACAUGGCUCCAAUAACAUGGAAAAUUUUAAUUCAUAAUCAUUUGUUUGGCAAAAAAGAGAUACUAGGCCAGGAAUUUGACAAAUGCGGAUGGUAUUUAGAAUUCGGCCCGGUCGAAGUUAGCCUUCUCUUACUUGUUUAAAUAUAAAUUUUUUAAAUAAAAAUUUUUUAUAUACAAAUUUUUGAGUCACAAAACGAUUGCAUCUGAAUAAACAACUAUGACACAUAUUUGUGUUCGUAUUAAAAAAUUUCCAGUGUUUUAUUGGGUUAAUAUUUGUUUAAAUGUCAAACAAUGAAUUCCUGAGAAACAUCAACAAAAUUAUUUGGGGGCAUUGGUAGAAGGGUUUGGGUGCCUACCCUCACCCAUAGAAGUUCAAUCAAAAUUAUCUUUUUGUGAUCUCAUAUCAAUGAACAGCGAAACGGUCGGUAGGACGAUGAAAAUCCUAUGGGGUUCCAGAUCGUGAGAAGACGAGGCUAUUACUGAAAGGAAGUAAGAAGGAAGUCAGUAUAGCUAUUGGUAUCAUAAUAAGACAAAUAGGACUACGAGCUCACUAAUGUAAAAUCGGUGCGCUCGUUUUCCAAUUCCUUCCUGUGGUCCAAAUGAAGAAUUCACAACUUGCGGCUUUGCAUGUCCCCUAACCUGUGAUAACCCUUUGG
Stomoxys calcitrans (stable fly) is the source of this 3402-nucleotide long non-coding RNA. RefSeq lists it as uncharacterized. The transcript has 3 exons. The record is from RefSeq and is a predicted model, not a curated record. Lineage: Eukaryota; Metazoa; Arthropoda; Insecta; Diptera; Muscidae.